UAUUUUAUUAAUAAUAGAUUCAUAAUUAUUUAAAUAAUAACUUUAACCGCAUAUAAUCAAAUAAUGAAUUUAUUUAAGUUCUUGAAAUUUUGCGGUUGUUACAUUCUUCCCUCCUUUAAAGGAUUCUGUGCUCGGAAUCAUGAUUUGUGUUGAACAACUCUCAUUGCAUCUUCUAGUUUCCACGUCACUUUUUCUAUAGCUUGAUUUCGCCAGAUCAUUUUAAGUAAUUUCACUUCCUUAUUCCGUACCUCUUGAAAUUUAGAAUCUACAAUCUACACUGGUUUCUCUUCGUACGUCGGAUUUGGUUAGAUAUGUGUUGCCUCAUAGUUCAAAAUAUGACGGUUGUCAGUCUUGUAAACUUUUCUUAGAUUCUCAAACGAUCCUGUAUAUCUCUGAUUCAACUUACCUUAUUUCCCGAAUCUAACUAUUCCUUUCCAAUAUGACACUUUCCAAAGCACUUUUCCUCUUACUUCAAAUGCUUUCUCUUUUAUUUCUAAAUCUGUAUAUAUAUAUAUAUAUAUAUAUAUAU
Molecule: long non-coding RNA, 529 nt
Filed under: Daucus carota (carrot)
Lineage: Eukaryota; Viridiplantae; Streptophyta; Magnoliopsida; Apiales; Apiaceae
Description: long non-coding RNA (DCAR_LNC005495)
Source: RNAcentral